GACGAACGCUGGCGGCGUGCUUAACACAUGCAAGUCGAACGGUGAAGCCCUUCGGGGUGGAUCAGUGGCGAACGGGUGAGUAACACGUGAGCAACCUGCCCCUGGCUCUGGGACAACCACUGGAAACGGUGGCUAAUACCGGAUACGACCCGCCUCGGCAUCGAGUGUGGGUGGAAAGUUUUUCGGCUGGGGAUGGGCUCGCGGCCUAUCAGCUUGUUGGUGCGGUGAAGGCUCACCAAGGCGACGACGGGUAGCCGGCCUGAGAGGGCGACCGGCCACACUGGGACUGAGACACGGCCCAGACUCCUACGGGAGGCAGCAGUGGGGAAUAUUGCACAAUGGGCGAAAGCCUGAUGCAGCGACGCCGCGUGAGGGAUGACGGCCUUCGGGUUGUAAACCUCUUUCAGCUCCGAAGAAGCGAAAGUGACGGUAGGAGCAGAAGAAGCACCGGCUAACUACGUG
RNAcentral lists this ribosomal RNA (462 nucleotides) under uncultured bacterium. Its description in RNAcentral is "partial 16S ribosomal RNA". It matches the Rfam family "Bacterial small subunit ribosomal RNA", at positions 28 to 507 of the family's 1533-position model. The record is from RNAcentral.